CUCUUCCUUUUAAUAGUAACGUAAAGAAACAAGAUGGCGGCGUUCCGUCUCACUAGAAGCGACGAGGCUGUGUCAGUCUAGCGUGUACAGUCCACGACCAGCAGGAGGAAAUACUCUGAGCUACGUAACUCGCCACACGAUCCUCCAAACAACCCUGCACACCAACAAGCCGGAAAACUUCACCCAGGCGCGUAUCAUGAGUGCACGAAGAUGAGCAAGUGCCCGGUACAUUAGACCCUGAACAACAGGUGGUCAUAAAGACCUUGAGGGUUAUGGGCAGAUAACUGCACCCAUUCGUACAGCCGACACCAAAUAAGCAAAACUCCCUGGCUCAUCCUCCGAAGACACCAAAGGUGAAACUGUGCCAAGAGGCGUGGACACGCCUACCGCACCAACAAAGGCCAUUGGACAAUGGCCUACACCGACCAAUAAGAAGAAGGGACAUCACUACUACGCUAGGGAUAUACGCUAAAUGUUAGAGCUCAGGCGGGGCCUUUUGGUGAACCUGUGAGACAGUGAACUACUUAAUUGUGGUCUGUGGAACAGUGAAGCCGAUCGGCCCUCAUGAGUAGAGUUUUAUGUUUUGCUGCACUUUUGAUUUUAAUAAAUUACUUGAUGUUAUAACCCAAAA
Long non-coding RNA from Cottoperca gobio, 631 nucleotides. RefSeq lists it as uncharacterized. The record is from RefSeq and is a predicted model, not a curated record. The transcript has 2 exons. NCBI's taxonomy places the organism in Eukaryota, Metazoa, Chordata, Actinopteri, Perciformes, Bovichtidae.